GCUAAGGCGGGCAAAGGUGCAGAUAGGCAAAUUAACCCCAGGUACACAUUACUAAUAUGUAUGAGUACCGAUGUCAAAAGAAAAAGGAAGGGGUCUCCUUGGGAGGGAAAUUAUUAAACGAAAGACAAUGAUGUGGUCUUGGGGAAGUUUUAGAAAUGUGCACGAAACUGAAACCCAUUUCUCGGGCAUAAGGCGAUGAUUACACGAAGGCACGAAACUAGUGUGUGAAUUGCGCACCUGGCCAGUACGCAAGAAGCAUAUGACGUUCGUGAGACCGUGGCAAUUAUUGCAGCGAAUGCGAAAUAGCAAAUCCAUUGCGGAUUUGGUUAUGCUAACGAAGGUUAUGAAAAGUUAGGCGAGUCGACCGGUUCUAGCGAACAAGUCGAAUAAGAAUAAGCUACCAUCCGUUUUGAACGGGUGAUUUUGAAUGCUCUAAUGAAUGCUAGAAGCUUAAUCCGUUAUACGGAUUGAAAGAAGAAGUUAUGAUUAAAUGCAAAAAAAAAAAAAAAACCCAAUUAUUUGGGUAGUGGAAAAUGUGUAUGCUUAACUCUCGUUGAGAGUGUUUAUGCCAAACCCAAUUAUUUGGGUAGUGGAAUGUGUAUGCUUAACUCUCGUUGAGAGUGUUUAUGCCAAACCCAAUUAUUUGGGUAGUGGAAUGUGUAUGCUUAACUCUCGUUGAGAGUGUUUAUGCCAAACCCAAUUAUUUGGGUAGUGGAAUGUGUAUGCUUAACUCUCGUUGAGAGUGUUUAUGCCAAACCCAAUUAUUUGGGUAGUGGAAUAUGUAUGCUUAACUCUCGUUGAGAGUGUUUAUGCCAAACCCAAUUAUUUGGGUAGUGGAAUGUGUAUGCUUAACUCUCCUUGAGAGUGUUUAUGCCGAAACCCAAUUAUUUGGGUAGUCGAAUGUGUAUGCUUAACUCUCUUUGAGAGUGUUUAUGCCAAACCCAAUUACUUGGGUAGUCGAAUGU
This 965-nucleotide long non-coding RNA is filed under the name Helianthus annuus (common sunflower). RNAcentral's name for it is "hypothetical non coding rna". Lineage: Eukaryota; Viridiplantae; Streptophyta; Magnoliopsida; Asterales; Asteraceae. The record is from RNAcentral.